AUACGAUUGUUGACAGGGAAGAGUAUAAAACAAAUGACCAUUACAGAAAGAAUCUUCAUCGGCUGAGAGAGAUUCAUGUGUCUUGUUUUAGAAGUGCGCCCUUAAGACCUUUAAAGAACAUUUCUGCGGAAAUCAGUAUUUAAAGGCGGCCGCCGCCGUUAUCGGCUGAGUUGGGAAAACAGCCAUUUGUUUUUCAAACAGAGUGGAACCGCGCGGUGAAAGCGUCUCUGUC
RNAcentral lists this non-coding RNA (232 nucleotides) under Bacillus sp. (in: firmicutes). Its description in RNAcentral is "Bacillus sp. T-box sequence". It matches the Rfam family "T-box leader". From Rfam's summary of the family: Uncharged tRNA acts as the effector for transcription antitermination of genes in the T-box leader family. T-boxes are found upstream of many aminoacyl-tRNA synthetase genes and some amino acid biosynthetic genes usually in Gram-positive bacteria. The record is from RNAcentral. Lineage: Bacteria; Bacillati; Bacillota; Bacilli; Caryophanales; Bacillaceae.